GUACACUGCCCUGAGGUACUCCUCUGGAGACCAACACCCACUCAGAUGUUACGUCUCCAAUUUUGACUUUCUGCAAUCUUCCAGAGAGAUAGUUCUCGAAGAGCGUACAAGCACCGUCACUCAGGCCAUACGCUUUUAGUUUGGCUAAAAGAAAAGCAUGUGGUAUCGUAUCCAACGCCUUCGAUAAGUCCAUUGAGACAUCCCCAACGAGUUUUUUUUUGUCUCUACUCCUUUUCCAGUCGUCUGUUAGUCUAAGAAGCGAAUUCUCACAACUGUAAAAUUUUCUGUAGGCGGAGAGAAACUUUGAUAGGAGCCCACUGAAGAAUUCUUCGAACUGAGAAGUCAGUAGCUUUUCAAAUAUAUUAUUCAGACAGGGAGUACUAUGGGUGCCUGUACGGUAUAAAUAUUAGGAAAAUCAUUAAGUGAACUUUAAAUUUGAUUUAUACGUGUAGAAAAAAUCACACGAUUUGUUUAUUUUUUACCUUGAUACUCACUGUAACCUGGGCAGUGGGGAUGAGUGCUCGCCUCCCGCUGCUACAGCUCGGGCUGGAUUUCGGGACCUGACGACACAUGUGGGUUGUGUUUGUUGUUGGUUCUCCUCCUUUCCCCGAGGGUUUUUCUCUGGGUCCUUUGGUUUUCAUCUCUUCGCAAAAACCAACAUUCCUGGAAGAGCCACCACGUGGAAUGUUCAAUGCUAGAUGAUAAUGAGAAUUAUUAUUAUUUUAAUUAUUAUGAUUAUUAGUAUUAUCAACCCACCAUUCGGAGGUGUUUCACUUUGUACAACCCUUUUGCUGUUCCCCGUGUACCUGUACAUUUAUAAGGUUGUACCUCGAUUUUCGCGAUUUAGAAACUGUUCUGUUUACCGUUAUUUCCCCUCCAGCCUUUCUUAGCGGAAAUAUUCAAGACGCCGAAGAUGAGUCCAAGGAAGAAAGGAAAAUCGAAUAUCCAAGAUUACCAAGUGACUUCACAGCGGCUUGUGUACGGUUCCUUUGGCAUGUUCUGAAACCGCGGAAUUCUUAGUGCGUGCGAGUCAUACAUCCCUGUCGUGUUCUUUCGUUGUCCCUUGCAUGGGUCGUCCUGUUUCUCCGAUGUAGACUGUGCCGCAUGUGCAUGGUAUCUUGUAGACUACGCCAUCUUGCUUGUACGGAUGAGCGGGAUCUUCUGAUCUGACCAGCCGAGAUCUUGGUGUGGUGUCGGACUUAACGACGGUGUGUAUUCCUUGUUGCUGUAGAUGGCGGUGGAGGGGUUCUGAGACUCCUUUG
Molecule: long non-coding RNA, 1262 nt
Organism: Stylophora pistillata
Lineage: Eukaryota; Metazoa; Cnidaria; Anthozoa; Scleractinia; Pocilloporidae
Source: RefSeq, a predicted model, not a curated record